AUCGGUGCGAUGAUUAUAAUGAAAUUCCUCGUACUGAAAGCAAAAGCAUGAGAGACUACAAUCACCCAUAGAAUAUGAGCACCG
Molecule: non-coding RNA, 84 nt
Organism: Picea glauca (white spruce)
Lineage: Eukaryota; Viridiplantae; Streptophyta; Pinopsida; Pinales; Pinaceae
Source: Rfam